ACGCUCGACACCUACGGGAGGCAGCAGGUGGGGAAUAUUGCACAAUAGGGGGAAACCCUGAUGCAGCGACGCCGCGUGAAGGAAGAAGUAUUUCGGUAUGUAAACUUCUAUCAGCAGGGAAGAAAGUGACGGUACCUGAGUAAGAAGCCCCGGCUAACUACGUGUCAGCAGCCGCGGUAAUCUGAGCGGGCUGGCAAGGC
This 200-nucleotide ribosomal RNA is filed under the name uncultured bacterium. Its description in RNAcentral is "partial 16S ribosomal RNA". It matches the Rfam family "Bacterial small subunit ribosomal RNA", at positions 328 to 539 of the family's 1533-position model. The record is from RNAcentral.